GACACUUUGGCCGAGUGGUUUAAGGCGCAGGCCUGCUACUACAAUGUACUAGCUGUUUAGCCUGUGGGUUCGCCCGCCUGGGUUCGAGUCCCAGAGGUGUCG
RNAcentral lists this transfer RNA (102 nucleotides) under Aspergillus niger. Its description in RNAcentral is "tRNA-Ser". It matches the Rfam family "tRNA". From Rfam's summary of the family: Transfer RNA (tRNA) molecules are approximately 80 nucleotides in length. Their secondary structure includes four short double-helical elements and three loops (D, anti-codon, and T loops). Further hydrogen bonds mediate the characteristic L-shaped molecular structure. tRNAs have two regions of fundamental functional importance: the anti-codon, which is responsible for specific mRNA codon recognition, and the 3' end, to which the tRNAs corresponding amino acid is attached (by aminoacyl-tRNA synthetases). tRNAs cope with the degeneracy of the genetic code in two manners: having more than one tRNA (with a specific anti-codon) for a particular amino acid; and 'wobble' base-pairing, i.e. permitting non-standard base-pairing at the 3rd anti-codon position. The record is from RNAcentral. RNAcentral also lists the same sequence under 1 other name. Lineage: Eukaryota; Fungi; Ascomycota; Eurotiomycetes; Eurotiales; Aspergillaceae.